This 378-nucleotide ribosomal RNA is filed under the name uncultured bacterium. RNAcentral's name for it is "partial 16S ribosomal RNA". It matches the Rfam family "Bacterial small subunit ribosomal RNA", at positions 338 to 708 of the family's 1533-position model. The record is from RNAcentral.
CCUACGGGAGGCAGCAGUGGGGAAUAUUGCGCAAUGGGCGAAAGCCUGACGCAGCGACGCCGCGUGAGGGAUGAAGGUCUUCGGAUCGUAAACCUCUUUUAGUAGGGAAGAACGUUCACUGUUCUAAUCAUCAGUGAAUUGACGGUACCUGCAAAGCAAGCACCGGCUAACUCCGUGCCAGCAGCCGCGUUAAUACGGAGGGUGCAAGCGUUACUCGGAAUUACUGGGCGUAAAGCGCUCGUAGGCGGUAUGUCAAGUCAUGGGUGAAAGCCCCGAGCUCAACGUGAGAACUGCAUUUGAAACUGGCAAACUGGAGUGUGUGAGAGGAAAGUGGAAUUCCAGGUGUAGGGGUGAAAUCCGUAGAGAUCUGGAGGAACA